This 426-nucleotide ribosomal RNA is filed under the name uncultured bacterium. RNAcentral's name for it is "bacterial SSU rRNA". It matches the Rfam family "Bacterial small subunit ribosomal RNA", at positions 355 to 773 of the family's 1533-position model. The record is from RNAcentral.
UGGAGAAUAUCGGACAAUGGGCGCAAGCCUGAUCCAGCAAUGCCGCGUGUGUGAAGAAGGCCUGCGGGUUGUAAAGCACUUUCAGUGGGGAGGAAGGCCUCGGCGUUAAUAUCGUCGAGGAUUGACGUUACCUACAGAAGAAGCACCGGCUAACUCUGUGCCAGCAGCCGCGGUAAUACAGAGGGUGCAAGCGUUAAUCGGAAUUACUGGGCGUAAAGGGCGCGUAGGUGGUUAAUUAAGUCAGAUGUGAAAUCCCCGGGCUUAACCUGGGAAUUGCAUUUGAAACUGAUUGGCUAGAGUACGGGAGAGGGAAGUGGAAUUUCCGGUGUAGCGGUGAAAUGCGUAGAUAUCGGAAGGAACACCAGUGGCGAAGGCGACUUCCUGGCCCGUUACUGACACUGAGGCGCGAAAGCGUGGGGAGCGAAC